RNAcentral lists this transfer RNA (62 nucleotides) under Coryphella verrucosa. Its description in RNAcentral is "tRNA-Gln". The record is from RNAcentral. Lineage: Eukaryota; Metazoa; Mollusca; Gastropoda; Nudibranchia; Coryphellidae.
AUCUUUUCGGUGUAAGGCACAAGAGAAUUUGAGUCUCUUAGAGGAUUUUUUUCCAAAAGAUA